UGCCAGCCGCCGCGGUAACACGAACUGCGCAAACGUUAUUCGGAAUCACUGGGCUUAAAGAGUUCGUAGGCGGCCUAGUAGGUGAGGUGUGAAAUCCCUCGGCUCAACCGAGGAAUUGCGCUUCAAACCACUAGGCUUGAGGGAGGCAGAGGUGAGUGGAACUGAUGGUGGAGCGGUGAAAUGCGUUGAUAUCAUCAGGAACACCAGUGGCGAAGGCGACUCACUGGGCCUCUUCUGACGCUGAGGAACGAAAGCUAGGGGAGCGAACGGGAUUAGAUA
This 279-nucleotide ribosomal RNA is filed under the name uncultured bacterium. RNAcentral describes it as "partial 16S ribosomal RNA". It matches the Rfam family "Bacterial small subunit ribosomal RNA", at positions 506 to 784 of the family's 1533-position model. The record is from RNAcentral.